This 1021-nucleotide long non-coding RNA is filed under the name Monodelphis domestica (gray short-tailed opossum). Its description in RNAcentral is "lncRNA (ENSMODG00000038925.1)". Lineage: Eukaryota; Metazoa; Chordata; Mammalia; Didelphimorphia; Didelphidae. The record is from RNAcentral.
GCGUGAUGUGCCAGGGAGGAGAAACCGGCUUUCUGCUAGGAAACUCACUCUCAAGACCAGGGUGCCAUAUGCUUUCUCUUUCUGUCUCUGUCUGUCUCUGUCUCCCUCUCUGUCUCUCUCCAUCUCUGUCUCUUUCUGUCUGUCUGUCUCUGUUUAUCUCCCUCUUUGUCUCUCUCCAUCUCUGUCUCUUUCUGUCUGUCUCUGUUUGUCUCCCUCUCUGUCUCUCUCCAUCUCUGUCUCUUUCUGUCUCUGUCUCUGUUUGUCUCUCUCUCUGUCUCUCUCCAUCUCUGUCUCUUUCUGUCUGUCUCUGUCUCCCUCUCUGUCUCUCUCCAUCUCUGUCUCUUUCUGUCUGUCUGUCUCUGUUUGUCUCCCUCUCUGUCUCUCUCUAUCUCUCUCCAUGUCUGUCUCUGUUUGUCUCCCUCUCUGUCUCUCUUUGUCUCUGUCUCUUUCUGUCUCUGUUUGUCUCCCUCUUUGUCUCUCUCCAUCUCUGUCUCUUUCUGUCUCUGUCUGUCUCUGUCUGUCUCCCUCUCUGUCUCUCUCCAUCUCUGUCUCUUUCUGUCUCUGUCUGUCUCUGUUUGUCUCCCUCUCUAUCUCUCUCCAUGUCUGUCUCUGUCUGUCUCUGUUUGUCUCCCUCUCUAUAUCUCUCCAUGUCUGUCUCUGUUUGUCUCCCUCUCUGUCUGUCUGUCUCUGUUUGUUUCCCUCUCUAUCUCUCUCCAUGUCUGUCUCUGUCUAUCUCUGUUUGUCUCCCUCUCUGUCUUUCUCCAUCUCUGUCUCUCUCUGUCUUUCCCCCUUCCUUUUCUCUCUCCCCCAUACUCUCUCUUUCUCUCUCUCUGACUUUCUGUCUGUCUCUCUCCUUGUCUCUGUCUGUCUAUCUUUCCCAUUCUCUCUCUUCCUCUCUCCCUCCUUCCCUCUUUCACUGUCUCUCUCCAUCUCUGUCUCCCUCUCUCAUUGUGUUUCUCUGUCUAUGUUUGUCUUUCUCUCCCUUUCUCUCUGUCUCUCUUUGUAUCUCUCUGUUUCCCCC